GGAUCAUUACUGAGACUGGGUUUGCUCCGGCAGCCCGACCUCCAACCCUUUGUCUACCUACCUUUGUUGCCUCCGGUGUCUUGGGCUUAACAGCCCUCGCCCGGGAAAGGCCGUUUAUUAAACCCUUUAUGUUUUAAACCUAGUCUUCUGAGAAAACAAUCAAUAAACUUCAAAACUUUUAACAACGGAUCUCUUGGUUCUGGCAUCGAUGAAGAACGCAGCGAAAUGCGAUAAGUAAUGUGAAUUGCAGAAUUCAGUGAAUCAUCGAAUCUUUGAACGCACAUUGCGCCCUCUGGUAUUCCGGGGGGCAUGCCUGUUCGAGCGUCAUUAUCAACCAUCAAGCUAUGCUUGGAAUUGGAUGUCCCCCCCGGGCUUUUCCGGGGGAGCGUCUUAAACCGGUCGGCGGUGGCUUCGGGCCCUAAGCGUUAGUAAUACUUGUCGCUUUUCGGUGCUCCGGCAGUUCGCCCGCCCCUAAAACCCAACAUCUCAAGGUUGACCUCGGAUCAGGUAGGGAUACCCGCUGAACUUAAGCAUAUCAAUAAGCGGAGGAAAAGAAACCAACAGGGAUUGCCCUAGUAACGGCGAGUGAAGCGGCAACAGCUCAAAUUUGAAAUCUGGCGCAAGCCCGAGUUGUAAUUUGCAGAGGAUGCUUCGGCGUCGGCCCCGUUCUAAGUUCCUUGGAACAGGACGUCCUAGAGGGUGAGAACCCCGUCUUCGAUCGGGUCGCCUUCGCCAUGUGAAGCUCCUUCGACGAGUCGAGUUGUUUGGGAAUGCAGCUCUAAGCGGGAGGUAAAUUUCUUCUAAAGCUAAAUAACGGCCAGAGACCGAUAGCGCACAAGUAGAGUGAUCGAAAGAUGAAAAGCACUUUGGAAAGAGAGUUAAAAAGCACGUGAAAUUGUUAAAAGGGAAGCUCAUGCUGCCAGACUUGGCCGAGGCUCUUCGGGGCUUCGGGCAGGCCAGCAUCAGUUCGGGGGGCCUGAUAAAGGUCUCGGCAAUGUAGCUCCCCCGGGAGUGUUAUAGGCCGAGGCGUAAUGGGGCCAUCCUGGACUGAGGAUCGCGUUCGCUAGGAUGCUGGCGUAAUGGCAGUAUGCGACCCGUCUUGAAACACGGACCAAGGAGUCUAACAUCUAUGCGAGUGUUUGGGUGUAAAACCCAUGCGCGUAAUGAAAGUGAACGGAGGUGGGAACCGCAAGGUGCACCAUCGACCGAUCCUGAUGUCUUCGGAUGGAUUUGAGUAAGAGCAUAGCUGUUGGGACCCGAAAGAUGGUGAACUAUGCCUGAAUAGGGUGAAGCCAGAGGAAACUCUGGUGGAGGCUCGCAGCGGUUCUGACGUGCAAAUCGAUCGUCAAAUUUGGGUAUAGGGGCGAAAGACUAAUCGAACCAU
Molecule: ribosomal RNA, 1384 nt
Filed under: Phaeococcomyces nigricans
Lineage: Eukaryota; Fungi; Ascomycota; Arthoniomycetes; Lichenostigmatales; Phaeococcomycetaceae
Description: eukaryotic LSU rRNA
Rfam family: Eukaryotic large subunit ribosomal RNA (bases 494-1384)
Source: RNAcentral